CAGGUCAGUGUUCGCUACGUUAUUGAACCGAGUCAACAGUGAUUAUUUUCAUGAGUUUAUCUUUGAUCCCCCCUAAUUUCUGCACCUGAAGACCCAGAAGUCUGUUUCCUAGAGAAAUACUAUUAUUUGUAACUAAGGAGAAUUACUGAACUAAAACAAAGAGAAAAACAUUUACUUUUGAAUUUCAGUUUCACAACAAUUAAAACUUUAAUUUUUAAAAUAGGUUAAAGCUUUCACAAAUUUGAGACCGUUUCUUUAAGGAGUCCAGGUUUUACAACUUUGUGUUUUAGUCUAUUUAAUUUCAAGCAGAAAUGGCUCUUUAAUCAAACUACAGACCUGUUGAAAGUAAUUCAGCAUAGUCUAAGGAGAGAUGUAGGAAAAAUUACCUGGAAAAAAAAUAAAUAAAAAAAUCUGAUUUUUGCAGUAUUAAAUGGCGUACACUUGUAGUCUUUAUACAGCCACAUGAGGGCAGUCAAGUAAAAGUUUGUAGAGAAAGGCUCUUUGGUCCUUCCUUUAUUGUCUCUUGUGAGAGGAUAUGCAGCUUUGAUGUUUUCACAGCACAAAAAAAAGAAAAAAUAGAUGAAGCUGCAACAAAAGCAUUUUCCAGUUGAGCCCAGCUCAACAUCAGCAUGUUUUUCACAAAACGUCUAUCAGGACAUUGCAGUUGAAAGUAAACAUCACAGGUGGCAGUUCUGGAUUGGCUGUAGCACAUUCAGAAAAAAAAACAAAACAACUCCUAUAUGGCAGCACUCAUCUCAAAGAAUAACACUCUUUAUGUAGGAGUCUAAAGUUGCAAGGUGAAGCUAGAAUUUUAAACCAACACAAUCUGAAAAACCUCGCUUCUUAGAGAGAAGAGAUGGGUUUUAACUUUAACUCCUGACAUGUGAAACCUUUUUCUGCUCUGACCUCGCUUUAUUUUUCCUCCUCUGGGUUCAAAGGGUUCUGUGUGCGCCACGCCUGAAGCCUCAACUCUAAGAGAGUCAGCAUACAUCAAUCAAAGACGUUUCUGUCUUGUGUGGCGAUGAGCCGGGACUCCCCGUGAUGCAACGUGAAGAAGGAUUCUGGUUUCAGUCCCCUCUGCUCCAGUGCCUCUCUGAGACGGACCGGGGGCUCCAGGUAGUACUGCAUGGAGGAGAGACGAGGUAAGAAAGCUAGAAAAUAGUCUUGGCUCAGAGGUGAGGAAAUUCAAGAAGAAUGGGUCUAUGUCGUCCCAGAACGCAAUCUCCUCCUCACGGUGAAUUGUUUGUCUAUAUGAUGAAGAAAUAUUGGAAAAAAAAAAGAGUGUGCUUGGUGUGAAUGAAUGUGAAAUGAUUUUAAAUGUGGAUUUUUCCCUGCAAAGUGAAUUAGAAGCAGAGGAAAACAAAUAAGGAAUGAAAAUGCUGAACAUAAAUAUUUAGUGGACAAAUUACUGGCCUUAAUAUUUAAAACAAAAUUUUUUUGUUUGUUUUUUUUCUCUCUUUGAACAAAAAUGAUUGUAUUUCUUAAAAGUAUCAAUCAAUAAACUUAUUUAUAAGGGACCCUUUCUUACUAAAUGCAUACUGGAUGGAGAUUAAAUGACUAAAACUAUAUGAUCAUGCAAAAGGUUAAAAUAAGAUUCAUAAAUACAUACUGUAUGUAUAG
Gambusia affinis (western mosquitofish) is the source of this 1620-nucleotide long non-coding RNA. RefSeq lists it as uncharacterized. The record is from RefSeq and is a predicted model, not a curated record. Lineage: Eukaryota; Metazoa; Chordata; Actinopteri; Cyprinodontiformes; Poeciliidae. The transcript has 2 exons.